This is a long non-coding RNA of Astyanax mexicanus (Mexican tetra), 1041 nucleotides long. RefSeq lists it as uncharacterized. The transcript is spliced from 3 exons. The record is from RefSeq and is a predicted model, not a curated record. Lineage: Eukaryota; Metazoa; Chordata; Actinopteri; Characiformes; Acestrorhamphidae.
UCACCUGUAUGAACAACAUUAAAAACUACAUUUAAUAAAAUUGAAUUAAUAUUAAUAACAGAGUUAAUCAAAUAAACAAUUUAAUAAAAAAGUUAUGCUAAAAAAUAGCAUAAAAUGUUUUUGUUAGGAACAGGAGAACCAUUAUGUAGGAUGGCAGCAAUGAAUCUGCAAAGGAAAAAAGUAAAACCAAAAGAGGAGGCAGCAUAUUUUACAUCUGUUUGUAAAGACAAAGACGGGUUUGAUGUAAAAUAUAUAUAAAUUGAGAAAAAGGUAUGAACUUAAAGUUUGUCAAUAAAUAUGCAAUAAGCAACACAAACUUUCAGGACUGUAAAAUCUUAGCCUAACAUGUUCUCUUUUUUGUAGGCCGUGGGGUAUUCAGCUGUGUCCAUUUUGAUAAGGGAGAUUUCUUAUUUGAAUACAGAGGGGACCUGAUAAGCAAACAUGAAUCUGAAAACAGACAGAAAUUAUAUCAUGAUGCACUGAAAGUAUUCAUGUUUGAAUUCCGCUACAAUGGAAAGCUCUUUUGUGUUGAUGCUUCUCUGGAUGAUGGCUCUCUGGGGAGACUUGUAAAUGAUGAUCAUCUUAACCCAAACAGCAAAAUGAGAACAAUAACAACAGUGGGGAAACCCCAUCUGUGUUUAUUUGCAACAAGAAGCAUAAAUCCUGGAGAAGAGAUUACAUACAAUUACGGUGACUCUGAGUGGCCAUGGAGAUGCAAGAUAGUCAAUGAAAGAGACCAACUGCAUCCCCAAGAGCAGACGUCCAACACAAUAUCUGAGGUACGUUGGGAAGUGUGAACAUAAUUUAUUUUGAAUAACUGGCACCCAUUUUAACUGAAUUUAGCUAGUCUGUGUAUUUAAGCUGUGUAUGUCUUAGACCUGUCUUGUGAGUACAGUGUGUUCAACAAGGACAUGCAUCAGAUUUGCAGUCACAGUUAGUGUCUGUGUGUAUCAACAUGUGUGACAGAAACAUUCUACAUGAGGACUUAAGUACUUACUAGGACUGGAUUGUUUACUGGGAGUUUGUGUGUUACUGGGUGUG